UUUGACUUUUAAUAACCAAUUUGAUGUUCAAUAAUUAACAUCAACAUUUCACAUAAUCAUAAUAAUGUGCAAUAAUAUAUUAAGCCAAACAGGACCUCUCAAGAAGAGAAAGAUUGGGCGAACUGGAACAAAACACAGGCUAUAUACUGGUACAAAAUAUACUAGUAAUUAUACAAUUUGAUCAUAAUAAUCCUACAAAAUAUACUGCUAGUUUGAUCUUACAGAUUGCAGCCACAAAAUUCACUAAUUACACGGUUUGAUCUAAACUAUUUGGCUGCUUCAUCUGUCAAAUUCACUAUUUCAAGAUGACUACUUCCAACCCUUCAUGAUCCUAUCAAAGCACCAUAAAAAUUCAGUCAACAUUAAUUUAAUAUAUUAGUCAUGAGUAGAACAAGACACACCAAUUAAAACUUACUUAUUAGGAGAUUGAGAAGGCAAUACUUCCAUUUUUCUCUUUUUGUUUGGACAGUUUCGUGAGUCAUGAUUAGUUCCACCACAAUCUGGAACAUGACAACGACGAGGCUUCUUGGCAGCUUCAACCCCUCCUUUUGGUCUUGAUCCUUUUGGCCGACCUUUUGUUUUUGAAACAACAGGAUUUUCAACGUCGUAGUCGUCAUUGUUGGAAACAUC
RNAcentral lists this long non-coding RNA (630 nucleotides) under Medicago truncatula (barrel medic). RNAcentral describes it as "lncRNA gene31999". The record is from RNAcentral. Lineage: Eukaryota; Viridiplantae; Streptophyta; Magnoliopsida; Fabales; Fabaceae.